AGAUGUGAGGGGGUCUAGCUGCAACAUCUAUCACCCCAUUGAUCGCCAGGGUUGAUUCGGCUGAUCUGGCUGGCUAGGCAGGUGUCCUCUUCCUCCCUCACCACUCCAUGUGCGUCCCUCCCCAAGCUGCCGAAUAGAGGUGGACCGGUCUUCGGUUGAGGGUAUACCAGUAACUGUGCUCCCCUGCUAGAACCUCCAAACAAGCUCUCAAGAAGAGUACAAUUCCCACCACAGACCUCUGU
This 242-nucleotide small nuclear RNA is filed under the name Erinaceus europaeus (western European hedgehog). RNAcentral's name for it is "7SK RNA". It matches the Rfam family "7SK RNA", at positions 1 to 250 of the family's 331-position model. Rfam says of the family: 7SK was discovered as an abundant small nuclear RNA in the mid-70s but a possible function has only recently been suggested. Two independent studies have found that 7SK RNA binds the CDK9/cyclin T complex (known as elongation factor P-TEFb). The record is from Rfam by way of RNAcentral. Lineage: Eukaryota; Metazoa; Chordata; Mammalia; Eulipotyphla; Erinaceidae.